UGGAGCUUUAAAUAAAGGCCCACUGGGCUUGAGGCUUGAAGUGUCAUGAAGAAAGGCCUUCCACUGUUAUCCUAAAGAGAGUUCAUUUAUAUCUUCAGGGAGAUCCAAGCUGAAAGAGGGGCGGGUGAUGAAAAUUUGAAGGUGAGUGGGGCGAAGGGAGGUAAGGGGAGGCGGAGUAGGGGCUGGGAGGAGACCCCGGGGAUGAAGGGUGCCCGGAUGGGAAGGCAACUUCUGGGAAAGGCCAUCAGCAUCAGAUAAGAUCUUCAAAUCCCAGGGUCGAUGAGAUCCCCAUCUUUGCUCCUCAAGCCUGGUUUCCACACAGCUGGAGGUGCAAAUUAUUUAUUGAUUGUAUUUUUGGCUGCAGCACACAGCCCUGCAGGCACCUUUACAAGCCCUCAGGGUAUGAUUUACCACCUACAAAAAACCCCCAAGAGCACAGUGCGUUCAUGCACACACAAGAAAGCAGCAGGUUCCAAAAGUUAAAAGGAACUAGAAACUACUGGUUCACUAAAUGGUGGUCUUCUAGAUGCUUUUCAGUGCCCGCAGAGAAAUUGAUAUUUCUAUCUCGAGCUGGGCUGUGAGUUCCCCAAGAGCAACACCUCUGUAUUUCUGCAUUGCUGGGACGGCCCUGAGCUAUGCCACACCCGGAUGGCACAAGUUAGGGCCUCAGUAAUGGUUGGGGGUGUGAGUAGAGCCACCUUGGGGUGGGUGGGGGAUUCGCCCUGGUAAAGCAGCAGGAAGGCUGAGGAAAGCACGGGGUUUUCAUGGACAUGGUUUGUCCUGGAGACCGAGGGCUUCAGGGGGACCAGAUGCUCUGAUGGUCUUAGACUAGGGGCGGAAGAUGGGGAAGCGCCCCGCCUGCCAAGGUGUGAGCCACGGCCAUCUCGGCGCUGUCCUCACCUCAGCGGCUACAUUUAGGUUCCUCAGAGUGAGGGCCCCGGGGAGCUUCGCAAUCUCUGGACGGGCUCCCACCACCUGCCGCUCCCAAGGCGGCCUGGAUUCCUCCUGAGUUUCUUUGUGUUUGGGUUUUGGCGUCUGCCGUUGACAAACGUGGAGCGCCCUAAGCUCUCCUGCUGCGGCUGCUCGUCUCUCUUUCUGGAUGUUUCCAACUUGAAAGCUGGAGGGGAUUUUUCUUUUAAUCACUUCACAUUAAAAAAAAAUAUGAAUUUAAUAACUUCCCAGUUUAACAUUUUAUUUUCUAAGGCCUCUGAGUACCCCAGUCUGACAGAAUGCCUAGAAAAAUAAGGUACUUAAUAGACCUCGGUUAAUUGGCAGCCCAUGAGCUUUCUGCUUUCAGACAUUCUCAUUGUUCUCCAGAGGGGACAGGACAUUACUCAGUUCCUCAGAGGACGAGGCCUUCUCCUCUCAGGAGACAACAAUUUUGGAAAGGCAGGGGCCUGGUCUGAUUCGCUUGUACCUUCUUGUCGUUUAGCUGAGCACCAGGCUCACUGAGGACACCAAGCUUGUUAAAUAACAAGGUGCCACCGUCAGCCCUGUGCCACUGGCUCGGGUAGAGGCUGUCUCUGGAGGAGAUUCGGAUGACAUCAGGAGGGCAUUGGCAGCCAUAAAGACCCUGGGGUGCUUGGCAUGGUACAAAGUACACAGGCUUGGGGUUCUGUGGAAGGUUGUUUCCAUGGUGGCCAUCAAAAUCCUGGCCAGUCCUUAGGCCUUGUUGACAUGUGACUUUGUCUCUCCUCUCCUCCAAAGGUGGAGUCCAAGGCCCCUCCCCUGGGGUCUGGGAUGGCCCCUCGUUCUGCUCUGACCAACAGAAGUUGAAGAAGCGAUGUGUUUUCACAUUCAAAGCUCGUGAGGCUUUAGUCUACCUUUGGUUUCCAUUUUUGCUCUCUUGGAGCCCUGAGGUGCCACAGAAAGUCCCUCUAUCCUGUUGGAGAAACCACAUGAGGCAGAGAGAUCCUGGAGAAUGAGGGUCCGUGAGAAUGAGAGUCCAUGAGAGAAGAGAGACCAUUGAGAAUGCAGGUCCUUGAGCAGAGAGGGCCAGGCUGAGGGCAGACCUAUGAGUGAGGCCAUCUUGGAUCUCACUCAUCACAAACCUGAAGCCACCUGCAGAAGCCAUGCAGUGCCCUGGGGGAUAGGGACAAGCAUUCCAGCCGAGCCCCGCCUGUCUAGCCCAGGGACUGUGGGCAAACAAAACGGUUUUUGUUUUAAGCCACGAAGUUUGGGGCUAGGUUGUCAUGCAACAAUAGAUAACGUAUAAACUGACCUAAAUUCUAAUUUCAGUUCUGCACUUUCUAACUGUGUGACUGUGGGCAUAUAGUUUUCAGCCCUUCCCCUCAUACACAAAAUGAAAAUAAUAAUGCCUGCCCAGUAAAACAGCUAGCACAUGUGCUCUGGAGCACCUUGCCACCAACACUGCCUCAUCUGGGCUUGCCCACAAGCCAGGUACAGGGUUGGUCCUGGGUGGCCGCGAACGCACCACGACGUGUUGUUGCCAUCCUCUUCCAUCCCACGGGCUCCAGUGAGGCUGUUCCUUUUCUCUCUGCAGAUGAGGAACCGCGAAACCCCGGAAGCUGGAGUUUGCAGUUAACAGGUCAAGGCCAGGGUCAGAGUGCAAGGCGCCAGUCACGUUUGAGCUGAAGCUAAGAAGGGGCUUGAGCUCCUGGCAGGCAGCGGAGGCUCGGCCACAGAGCAGGUGUGCAGAACCGGCCCUCCCAUUCCCCUCGGCGGGCUCAGUCUCCUGUCUUCAGAGCCCUGAGUCCCCUGUGACCGCUAUCCUCGGGCUUGCGUGCUGCGUGGGCGUCUGUUGCCUCCCACCGAGCCAGCCCUGACCGCGUGUGUAAAUGUAUAUAAACUCCAGGCACACAGAGGGUGUUCAGCACAUGGUCAUGAUGUAUUAAUAAUGUUCGAAUCUUUAAGGUAGAAUCGCGGUUCUCUUUUUUUUAAAUCCUGGACGGAGGGAACAUCCAUCUACUUUUCUAUCAAAAUCUCUGUGCUGCCUUUUCUUUUUUUCUUUUUAAAUGUUUAUUUACUUUUAAGAGAGAGAGAGAGAGAGAGACAGAGUGCAAAUGGAGGAGGGGCAGAAAGAGAGAGGGAGACACAGAAUCUGAACCUCCAGGUUCUGGCUGUCAGCACAGAGCCCAAUGUGGGGCUCGAACUCACUGACCAUGAGAUCGUGACCUGAGCUGAAGUAGGGCGCUUAACCGACUGAGCCGCCCAGGCGCCCCGUAUGUUGCCUUUUCAUGAGGUGUGAUCCGCAUUAACCGGGUGCUCUGAGUCCCAGGGCUGACAGUAAGCUCUUACUAAACUUCACGUGGAGGCACGAGGGGUUUCUCUCUUGAGGCUGCAGCCCAGGGGAGCGAGGGGUGGGCGGGAGGGGUGUUGUGGCUGCCCCUGCUGUGGAAUAAAUCCCCUGCCCCCCGGGGCUCCGCGCUGAGGAAGGGGGAGCGAGGUCCGUGUGUAAGUAGCUCUGGUUCCUGGUGCUUCCUGUGAAUAGAUCACCCAGAAUAGGAUUUUCCAGAUUUGCAGGCUCAGAUGAGAUGCUUAAUAGGUUGGCUGCAGAGCAAGAAUUCUCAACCUCUGGAAAAUAAGGAAUCAUAAUCCUUGGAUAAUAUUUUCCUAAGAGCAAUAAAUUGUGCAUCCUCAUUUGUGUGAAACCCUUAGCAGCGUGGCCUCGGGCAAAUCCCUGAACCUCUGAGCCUCGGCCUUCUUACCUGUGAAAUCAGGGGGCAGUUUUCCCUGACUCUCGGAGUCGCUAGAGAAUUAAGAUCAAGGACACACCUAAAGCACUUGGCAGGUGGCUCACCAUUGGCUGCUUCCAUUUCUUCUGGGAGCACUGGGGUGGCCUGGGCUCUUUUCUUACUGCUUGUUCCGUUUUCUGGACCCAACAUUCAUGUAUAUCUUUUCCCUCCUUCAAAAUUCAAGUCUGCUUUCAUGUUCAUCCAUGGCCACUGGGUUCAGUGACCUGCCUUCCAGGCAGUGCCCCCUGAAGACUGUUUUCCCCUGCUGCCCGCCCUGGGGGGACUUGGACAGCCCCUCACAUUUGGUGCAUCUUGGCUUUGAAGUAGAGACCCAGACACCCCUCAGCAGGCACCUUCCUUUGGCUUCUCUCUGGGGGAGAAGAUUAGCUUUGCAGAGUCAUUAAUUUCUUGCCAAAAUCUUCUUUUUAUGUGUUUCUGGCCAGGGUUAAGGGGAAAAAGGGGGGAAUGCUCUGGAAAGGAACUCUUGUGUUCUGUAUGAACAUGAGCUCAUUAGUUCUGUCCUUAAUUCAAGUGAGAUUUUCAGUAAAGACGUUAGAUGAGACAUCGAGGUUGGGUGAAUCCUAUCUCCCAGGCCCUCACCCCUUUCCCAGACCCUGUCGCACAUCUGCCUAUUGGCUCCACACCAGGUUCUGAAUGUGUUUAUGCUCUUUACUUUUCCCCCUGUAUCAUAAGGUGUUCUCAAGAAAGGCUUUUGGGAAUCCAUUUCUACUCAACUAUAAACUAUCAUUACUGAUGUUCCAAUCAUGGGUAUUACAAUAGGGGAAUAAAUCUUGAAGUCAGAAGAAUAAAUCUCUAAGUGUAGAAUGUUGAUCAUCAGUGGCAAAUUGAUGUUGUUGGACUCAAGAGGGGGUGGGGUGAGGGUGACUGGUCUCACCACUAGAGCCUCUUCUCUUAUCACACGCACUGACCACUGGCUCUACCUUCUGGGGAAGCCUGCUCAACUCACCAGCAAACACUGAGAGCCUGCACUGUGUUCAGUGAGCUGAAAUAUGGUGGUGGGGGGGGUGAAGUCUGUGACCUUGCCAUGUUCCCUUAACCAUGUUCCCACCUCUGGGAGCCCCCGUUCCUACCAUGCGGUGCUUUCCAUUGUCAGGUGCACAGGAUGCUGUCCCACGUGCCUGCUUCUCCUUUUCAUCUCCUCUCCCCCACGUGUCUGUCUCCACUACGAGCCGGAAACCUCUGCAGGGGGUUAUGUCAGGGGCGGAGCUGAGGCAGAACCUGUACCUGUCGGGUCCCAUGAGCCUGGCUGGGAAGGGCCUGUGUGUCUCUGUGAAUGCCACCCAGCCCCAGCGAUCUCUAGCGGGACUUGUGAUGUAGGGUUGACAGUUGGCAAGUUGAGGAGACUUAUUGCAAAUGAGUAGAAUCAUUAAGGUGUCAGUAUCCCGUCUGCGACAGAGGUAAGCAAAUGAAUGUUCCCUGUCUUUGCUGGUAAUUUUUACAGGUUGACCAGUCGUACAUUUUUUUCAUGUCGAUUUAAAGCGUGGUUCUGGAUGGGGAUGAUUCCGUUAAUGUUCCUGACUCUUUCACACCUGGAUUUGAAAAAAGAAGUUAGAAGAAGACUUAAUAUCUGGAAAACAUUCUGAUGGUUCCAUAAACCGUCAGAGCGGUUUUGCUCGUGGAUGGGGAGUAGGGUGAGCAGACUUCUUGGGGUCCACUUCAUACUCCUUGGCUUCCGCUAGGAGGCAAAACUGGGAUUACGUGGCAGUAAUUUGGCAAAACACACCCUGUCGUUCUCACUUUCAUGUUUAAAACGUGGCUUCUCGGUUGUGUAGUGACUAAGGCCCGGUUUGGGGGAGUUUCGUAAAUUGUUGGGCUACCUGGGGUAGGAACCCAUUCAUCACUGAAAACAUGGAGGAUAUCAUAGCUACUGGUUUGGGAGAGAACUUUGAUAACAUUUAAUUUACAGUGUUUUCUGCCUUUGCUAAAUGUUUGUUAAACAAAUACGAGCCCUGCGACACCUGAGGGGCUCAGUCAGUUAAGGGUUCUGCUCUUGGUUUUGGCUCAAAUUGUGAUCUCAUGGUUCAUGAAUUCAAGCCCCACAUUUGGCUCUGUGCUGGUAGUGUGGAGCCCGCUUGGGAUUCUCUGUCUUUGUCUCUGCCCCUCCCCUACUCUCUCUCUCAAAAUAAAUGAAUAAACUUAAAAAAAAGGAAGACUAUUGAGCCCUGCUAUCUCAAAGGAAGCAAUAGUUUACAAAAGGGAGAAUAAUCUUGAAAAAUUGCACGUGUAAUUAUAGUUCAGGAUCUGAAAUUUCCUGAUCAAAACAAAUCUGUAUAAUAGUUUAAAAAUUACAUGCAUCUCCAGCUGUACCUAGUGUUCCAUUGGUUCUCUCUCUCUUUUUUUGUUGUUUGUUUGUUUAUUAUUUAUUAUUAUUAUUUAUUUUGAGAGGAGAGCAUGAGCAGGGGAGGGGCAGAGAGAGAAGGAGAGAGAGAGAGAGAGAGAGAGAGAGAAUCCCAAGCAGGUUCUGCAGUGUAAGCACGUAGCCUGACAUGGGGUUUGAUCUCACAAACAAUGAGAUCAUGACCUGAGUUGAAGUCAUGAGUCAGAUGCUUAACUGACUGAGCCCCCCAGGCGCCCCCCAGUGGCUCUCUCUUUUAAAAAACAAAAAUUUUUAAAAAUAUUUAUUUAUUUUUGAGAGAGACAGAGACAGAGCAUGAGCGGGGAAGGGUCAGAGAGAAAGGGAGACAGAAUCCAGAACCGGCUCCAGGCUGUGAACUGUCAGCACAGAGCCUGACGCGGGGCUCAAACUCGUGAACCGUGAGAUCAUGACCUCAGCCGAAGUCAGACGCUUAACCCACUGAGCCCCCCCCAGGCGCCCCCCAGUGGCUCUCUUAAUGCAGAUUCAGGACAUCUGCCAAGUCCCCCAAAUGAGGCAGGGGGCAGGUCUCCAGGGAGUUCAGGAGCACGUCCACCCAGUGCCACUCGGCCUCACCAUUUUCUCCCUCUCUUUCCAUCUACCUGUUCAAUCCACCUGGCUCUUUGCAGUUCAAAGUCAGCUGCAAACACCAGCGCCCUUUCUCCCUCUGCGCACCGUCAGCUGGAGUUCAAUGUCUGUUUACGACUGUCUGUAAGCUGUCAGGCUCGCUGCCCUGGGUGCUGAUGUUGUAUGGAGUUUUAAGAGAAGGCAGCUCAUUUUGGUUUUACCAUAGCCUCUCUCCUCAGGACUCAGAUGUGAGUCCAUGGGACAUUGGGCCAGAGACAAAGCAAAGGGAAAGAAUCACCUUUUCUCUUCAGCAGCCAAGAUACGGUUACUGGACAGGCUUGUCUUCUGUCUCUUCCUCCAGGAAGGAUGAGUCCUUUCUCCUGAGGCUCCCUGAGCUCCCAGGAAACUAGACCCUGGCAGCUCCUUCCCCACCUGUCUUUAGGCCUGAGGAUUCCCAGAAGCGAGGAUUGCUCAAAGCAGCGGCAGAAAAUUUAGUGGGGGUUGGAGUAAGAAGUGGCCUGUCACUUAGACGGAAGCCGCAUUCAUCACAAUGACAACCAGACCUAAGAUGCGCUGAACGCUCACCACGUGCCAAACCCUGGGCCCAGGGCCUGCAGCGUGUAUCUGCGUAACCACCACCGUGUGCUAGCACAUUCUGUUAUUGUCUCCUUUGCACAGACAGGGCGAGUUGAUGACUGUGAGCGUAACGGCUGUGAUACAGAUACAUACAAGUUGGCUAGGGGAAAGAUCAGGAAAGAUUUUGCUGGCGGAGAUUAUCCAUGAGAAAGCGUAUUUUGACAUGUAGGUUUUAUUGUUAUCCGGGAAUGGUCAGGCCACGGAUAAGGAGACGAUUGUCACCAACAAGAUAGUUCAUUAUGCUCAUAGUCCCCAAGAGGCUUGCUGUGCUACUGAGGGCCACACAGGGAAACACCGGGGGGCGGCCGGGAGGCAGAGUGGGUGAAGGAAUCACAGACAGGAGACUUUAUCGCGGUUUCUGUGGGAACGAAUGGGUGAGGUAGGGCAAGCAGGCUUAGGAUUGGCCAGUUUAAGUAACUCCAGCGGGAAAGAAAGGGGAACACUUUUGCACUGCUGGUGGGAAUGCAAACUGGUGCAGCCACUCUGGAAAACGGUAUGGAGGUUCCUCCAAAAACAAAAAAUAGAGCUACCCUAUGACCCAGCAAUUGCACUACUAGGUAUUUAUCCAAAGGAUACAAAAAUGCUGAUUCAAAGGGGCACAUGUGCCCCAAUGUUUAUAGCAGUGCUAUCAACAAUAGCCAAAUUAUGGAAAGAGCCGAGGUCCAUCGACUGAUGAAUGGAUAAAGAAGAUGUGGUAUAUAUAUGUGUGUGUAUACACACACACACACACACACACACACACAUAUACACAUACACACACACACAAUGGGAUACAACUUGGCGAUCAAGAAGAAUGAAAUCUUGCCAUUUGCAAGAACAUGGAUGGAAGUAGACUGUAUUAUGCUAAGUGAAAUAAGUCAGAGAAAGACAAAUAUCAUAUGAUUUCACUCAUAUGUGGAAUUUAAGAAAGUAAACAGAUGAACGUAAUUGAAGGGAAAGAAAAAUAAAAACAGAGAGGGAGGCAAACCAUAAGAGACUCUUAAAUAUAGAGAACAAACUGAGGGUUGAUGGGGGUGGGGAGUGGGGGGAUGAGCUAAAUGGGUGAUGGGCAUUGAGGCGGGCACUUGUUGGGCUGAGCACUGGGUAUUGUAUGUAAGUGAUGAAUCACUGGGUUCUACUCCUGAAACCAAUACUGCAUGGUAUGUUAACUGGCUUGAAUUAAAAAAAAAAAUAAAGUUAAUAAAAAGAAAAGUAAAAUAAAUAACUCCAGUGGACUCUGGAGUGUCAGAGCUCUCCCUAGCUGUCUGGUACCUGGCCCUGGGGUGAUUAGAACAGGGGUACAGUGGCCCUGGAGGUGAGACCUGCCAGAGGACGUGAGGUGAGGGUAGGUUCUGGACUGGUUAGUUUGCAUAUGACAGGUGCAUUCACAGGCUAGGUGCAGGAAUAGACUGUUUCCAGGAAUAGGCUGGGAGGAGCAGACUGCGGGGUUGGUACAGUGGGGAUGGGGGUUGGGGUGGGGGGCACCUAUCAGGUGAACGCGAGUGUCUCAUCCCAGUGAUGUACCCUCGGCCCCCGCGAGGGGACGCAGGGCGUCCCGUGUGAACUGUCAAUCGGCAUAUUCCCAGCUAUUUGGGGAAUCCAGACUUGGAGGCCUUGAACAAACGCCAACCUCAUGGGACCCAAGUGAGACUGUGAAACUCCCUCGUGCAUUCCCCACAGAGCGGCUCUGGCCGCUACUCCAGCCUCUGCCCCACUCACUGCUGCUCUGGUGGAGGGGUGCCGUGUGAUGGGAGAAGCUCGAGUGGCCCCCCGGGCUAGGGCCCCGCCCCGCAGCCCUGCAUCCCAGCAGCAAGGCCACCUGCUGAUCCCUCGCUUCUGACACCUUCCUGCUCUCGCCACUGAAUGUCAAGGUUUAGGGACAGAUGGGGCCCGUUCCCAUGUCAGUGAUUCCUUUCAACUUAGUGUGUGUGCAUGUUUGGGCACGAGGUGGGGGGCGGAUCUAGAGCCUAAUCAGAAAUUAUGACUUUUUCUUUCCAGGGAGACACAGCAGAGCUGACGACGUGGCCAACAACACGAGGGGAGAGCGUGGCUGGGAGGCGGCCCUGAGCCCAAGCGCGGUUCCCAUCGAGUCACAGCCUCCCAAGCCGCGAGGGCCAUGCUUACGGCUUGCCACUUGGGCCCCAAAUGCUGUCUAGUUGCCUUUCUGUCACCUGACUUUGAGUCACUUUUCUGUUCUUUAUCAGCCUUCUCCAGAGUACUGAAUGGGCAGAUAAAAGAGGGAAUGUAAAUUGCUCAAUCGUGGUAUUUUAAUUGAGAGGUUUAGGGGAAAUAUCUAGGUUGUUUAUGAAGUUCGAUCUUCUGUGUCGUUCACCCCCUCAGAAUCGUGAAAGUUUUGCUGGGCUGGGUGAUUACAGAACUGAAGAAUGUUGAGGGCAGAAAGAUACCUGGAGCCCAGCGAACCCAGC
This 9677-nucleotide long non-coding RNA is filed under the name Lynx pardinus (Iberian lynx). Lineage: Eukaryota; Metazoa; Chordata; Mammalia; Carnivora; Felidae. The record is from RNAcentral.